Molecule: ribosomal RNA, 429 nt
Filed under: uncultured bacterium
Lineage: Bacteria
Description: bacterial SSU rRNA
Rfam family: Bacterial small subunit ribosomal RNA
Source: RNAcentral
UGGGGAAUUGUUCGCAAUGGGCGCAAGCCUGACGACGCAACGCCGCGUGGAGGACGAAGAUCUUCGGGUCGUAAACUCCUGUCGAGCGGGAAGAAGGCUCCGCGGUUGAAUACACCGCGGAAUUGACGGUACCGCUAAAGGAAGCCCCGGCUAACUCCGUGCCAGCAGCCGCGGUAAUACGGGGGGGGCAAGCGUUGUUCGGAAUUACUGGGCGUAAAGGGCUCGUAGGCGGCCAACUAAGUCGGAUGUGAAAUCCCCAGGCUUAACCUGGGAACUGCAUCCGAUACUGGAUGGCUUGAAUCCGGGAGAGGGAUGCAGAAUUCCAGGUGUAGCGGUGAAAUGCGUAGAUAUCUGGAGGAAUACCGGUGGCGAAGGCGGCAUCCUGGACCGGCAUUGACGCUGAUGAGCGAAAGCUAGGGGAGCAAACGG